UACGUAGGGUGCGAGCGUUGUCCGGAAUUAUUGGGCGUAAAGAGCUCGUAGGCGGUGUGUCACGUCGGCCGUGAAAACCUGCAGCUUAACUGUGGGCGUGCGGUCGAUACGGGCAUCACUGGAGUUCGGCAGGGGAGACUGGAAUUCCUGGUGUAGCGGUGAAAUGCGCAGAUAUCAGGAGGAACACCGGGGGCGAAGGCGGGUCUCUGGGCCGAUACUGACGCUGAGGAGAGAAAGCGUGGGGAGCAAACAGG
Molecule: ribosomal RNA, 254 nt
Filed under: uncultured bacterium
Lineage: Bacteria
Description: partial 16S ribosomal RNA
Rfam family: Bacterial small subunit ribosomal RNA
Source: RNAcentral